This 84-nucleotide transfer RNA is filed under the name Bacteroidota bacterium. RNAcentral's name for it is "tRNA-Leu". It matches the Rfam family "tRNA". From Rfam's summary of the family: Transfer RNA (tRNA) molecules are approximately 80 nucleotides in length. Their secondary structure includes four short double-helical elements and three loops (D, anti-codon, and T loops). RNAcentral also lists the same sequence under 5 other names. Lineage: Bacteria; Pseudomonadati; Bacteroidota. The record is from RNAcentral.
GCCAGAGUGGCGGAAUUGGUAGACGCACUGGACUCAAAAUCCAGCGUUCGCAAGGAUGUGCGGGUUCGACUCCCGCCUCUGGUA